This 190-nucleotide ribosomal RNA is filed under the name Escherichia coli. RNAcentral's name for it is "partial 16S ribosomal RNA". It matches the Rfam family "Bacterial small subunit ribosomal RNA", at positions 1 to 184 of the family's 1533-position model. The record is from RNAcentral. RNAcentral also lists the same sequence under 1 other name. Lineage: Bacteria; Pseudomonadati; Pseudomonadota; Gammaproteobacteria; Enterobacterales; Enterobacteriaceae.
AAAUUGAAGAGUUUGAUCAUGGCUCAGAUUGAACGCUGGCGGCAGGCCUAACACAUGCAAGUCGAACGGUAACAGGAAGAAGCUUGCUUCUUUGCUGACGAGUGGCGGACGGGUGAGUAAUGUCUGGGAAACUGCCUGAUGGAGGGGGAUAACUACUGGAAACGGUAGCUAAUACCGCAUAACGUCGCAA